RNAcentral lists this long non-coding RNA (805 nucleotides) under Vigna radiata. Its description in RNAcentral is "long non-coding RNA (VRAD_LNC004954)". The record is from RNAcentral. Lineage: Eukaryota; Viridiplantae; Streptophyta; Magnoliopsida; Fabales; Fabaceae.
GAGCAAUUUCCACAAUUUGCAUAUUGAAGGCUUAAUACAUUGCUAAAUUAUAAUGUCAUAAUGGUAAGAAAUCCUUUUAGACAACAUGAAUAUUUUACCAACAACAUAGCAUUUGACAGAGUAACAAUAAUAACAGUUAAAGAAAAAUAAUACAUGUAGUGUCACUGUUCAUAUAUAUCUACAGGAACUUUCAUCAAGCAAAAUCAUCUUGAACUCUCAACUGACACCGAUAUUUCAAAAAACGAACCAAACUCUCGAUUGUCACAAUGUCCCUGAACACUUCACACAGAUCAACAAUAGUUUUGUAUAUUCAAUCCUAUCAAAGCCUAAUCGAAGACAGACAGCCAACAGUAUCAUUCACUCAACGGAAAGUAAAAGAACCAGAAAUCUUCAAUUCUAUCAAAGUCUAAUCGAAAAUCGUUCAAAAGAAAUAAGAGAAUUAUUAAUAAUCAAAUAAGUUCAUCAAUUACUGGAUUUUACUAUUCCUUGAAAACCUUAACCUAGGUUAGCCGCUGCAAACCUAGAAGAUAGCAAAGAAACUUAACAGGAUUCAUUGUCCCUGUACAGAUCACUUUUGCGAGCAAUCACAAAAUUCACAAAAUAAACCGACAGAAAAUGGAGAGCGAAUAGGUAUAAAACCUACAGCUGUUGCAGACAGGAAUCAGAGGACAAAACUAUUCGUCUGGCUGACUUCGCAGAAAUUAUGUUGUUUCGAAUCGAAACCCUACGGAUUAGGGUUUAAGAGGAAUUCCAACUACUCAAACUGUAAGAGUAAACAAUUUUGAGGAAGGCGAAUAUAACAAAA